UACGGAAGGCAGCAGUGGGGAAUAUUGCACAAUGGGCGCAAGCCUGAUGCAGCCAUGCCGCGUGUAUGAAGAAGGCCUUCGGGUUGUAAAGUACUUUCAGCGGGGAGGAAGGCGAUGUGGUUAAUAACCGCGUCGAUUGACGUUACCCGCAGAAGAAGCACCGGCUAACUCCGUGCCAGCAGCCGCGGUAAUACGGAGGGUGCAAGCGUUAAUCGGAAUUACUGGGCGUAAAGCGCACGCAGGCGGUCUGUUAAGUCAGAUGUGAAAUCCCCCGGGCUUAACCUGGGAACUGCAUUUUGAACUGGCAGGCUUGAGUCUCGUGAGGGGGUAGAAUUCCAGGUGUAGCGGUGAAUGCGUAGAGAUCUGGAGGAAUACCGGUGGCGAAGGCGGCCCCUGGGACGAGACUGACGCUCAGGUGCGAAAGCGUGGGGAGCGAAACAGGAUUAGAUACC
This 452-nucleotide ribosomal RNA is filed under the name uncultured bacterium. RNAcentral's name for it is "bacterial SSU rRNA". It matches the Rfam family "Bacterial small subunit ribosomal RNA", at positions 340 to 786 of the family's 1533-position model. The record is from RNAcentral.